Hordeum vulgare subsp. vulgare (domesticated barley) is the source of this 1026-nucleotide long non-coding RNA. RefSeq lists it as uncharacterized. The record is from RefSeq and is a predicted model, not a curated record. The transcript has 4 exons. Lineage: Eukaryota; Viridiplantae; Streptophyta; Magnoliopsida; Poales; Poaceae.
UUUAGCGUUUGCCACAGGGCCAUAAAUUUUGCCGGCCCGGUCCUGUGCCCGUCGCCUCUCUCUUCUCGCCCACCUCGCCUGCAACCACCUCGCCCACCUCGCCGGCAACCACCUUGCCCACCUCGCCGUCCACGGCCUUGCCCACCUCACCGGUCACCAUCUCUCCCCGUUGCCGCCAUCUUUCUCCCGCCUCCACUCGCACCCCACUCGAGUCACACCCCACAUCUAAGGUCAAAGCUUGGAUUUUUUUUUCUCCAGCGGCGAGCUUCUAGGAGACAGAGGCACUGGAUAUGUGUGCGCCACCGCUUGAUUGGCGUGCACCUGCUCUCGUUCUGGAGUCAGAGGCGUUGGAUGCGGUGCGGAGGCGAUCUUGUGGGCGACGGAGCAAUGUUCGUUGGCGACGACGCACUUGACACAAGUGGUCGUUGCUGUUGAGAAGAUGAAGGGUGAAGCGGGUGCUGCUCGCGUGCAGGGGUGGAGGGUCGCGGGGGGUCGCCGUCGGCCUCGCCAGGCACCGCUGCACGCUGGUCCUAGUGGGCGACGAGGGCGCCCUAACCGCGACAACGGAGGAGGUGUGGCGCGGCACGACCGAAGGGGAGGCGACCGUUGUGAUGGUUGGGUUUGGACAUCGCAGCCUACGACGAGGCACUGCUCGGCGCCCUGGUGAACUGCUGCUCCUACGAGGGUUCAACAUCAAAGGUGGACAAACAGACAGGCGAGAAAGAACAUGCAUUGGAAAGAAUUGCUGCUGACUUUAUAAUAUUCCCAUCCAUCCAUCUACUCCAGGGAUGGAUAUAUAAAUCAAGUGUACGCGACGAAGAGAAACACGGUUUACACCAAGAGGGGGAAUGCCGGUAAAUGGAAUUCUGGACCUGAAAAAGCUACGCGCGAGAUACCUAUUCUGCACAUCUCCAAAUGGGUUGAAACUCCACGAAGAAUUUUUAUUGAAUAGAUAAAAAAUAAUGGAAGAAAGAAGUACCAGAGGGGGCAGCCAGGUGGCCAUUAGGCACCAGGGCGCGCCAGCCC